Molecule: non-coding RNA, 1849 nt
Organism: Tetranychus urticae (two-spotted spider mite)
Lineage: Eukaryota; Metazoa; Arthropoda; Arachnida; Trombidiformes; Tetranychidae
Source: RefSeq, a predicted model, not a curated record
UGUACCGCUAUGGGUGUGAUUUUUUUGUAAAAACACCAGAUGGAAUUUCUCUAUGACCGAGUUUUUCCGCCUCGACCCUCUGUCGGGCAAAACUGUAAUAAGUUUGCUUUUGCUUUAAUAAAUUGUCUUAGCUUUUCUAUUGUUGUUUACGUGUGUUUUUGGUUAAUUAUUCAAUUGUUAAUUUUGUUCAUAUCUUAUAUAUUCAAUCAGUUCGUUAUUUGAAAUGUGAUUUGUUCAAUGUAUCUAUUAUUCUUACAAUUCAGCCUAAUUUUUGUGCAUUUAUUAAUGUCUCAAGUUAGAUCUUGUGGCCUACAAUCAUUAUUAUUAUAACGAUUGGUUCAUGUUAAUUAGAGCAGGAUUGUGUUGGCUUCAUUUGGCAGUCUAGAGAUUUAUUGUGAUAAUUUGGAUUUCGUGCUUUUUCAAAGAUUCAAACUCAGCAUUACACUGGAAUAAUUUUUGUAUUGAAGUCAUUUUAUUUACUUUUUAAAAAAAAGUUGAACUAAAGAUUGGCAUUUUUGGUUUCUCAUAUGAGCGAAUGGAGUUUUCAAUGAAAUGAUAAUCAGGAAAAAGGUUGAUCCUCAAGUCAAGAUGAUGAUAUGAUCCACUUGACUUUUAAGAUGGUUUGCUGGGAUCUCGUUAAAUACACAAACACCCAUUCCAAUUCACAUUCUUGCUACUUCAAUAUCAAUUGGGAAAGAAAUCUUUUCUCAAAUCUCAUCUAUUGACUUUUAUCCUCAUCAUCCAACAAAUCUUUCAUCUUGCAACUUUAUUUGUUUACAUCAUAUACUACAUGAACAGGGUUUCCACUAUAUGAGAAACUCAUCAUGCUCCUUUCAUCGUCAUCCAAUGAAGAACUAAUAUGUUACUUAUAUUAUGCUCUUAACUAAACCUUUAUUUAUUCACCAUCUUGUCUUGUGGUCAAAUGUUUGACCUUUCAGCUUUAAACUUUGACAAUUUAAUCACAACACACCAAUAACGCACCCAGAUGAGUGGCCUUAACCCGAAAAAUAAACAAGAACCGAACGAGGAGAAGCAAUCCAAUGAACCAGUUAAUCUGAAAGCAAGUGAAGAUACAAUGUUACAAAAAAAGUCAUCUCAUAAUGGCGAAAAGAAUCAUGGAAAUAAUUUAUUCCCACGAAUUUAAAAACAAUACUCAGGCUAAUAAUAAUAUCAAUUGAUGAAAGGAUGAGGAGGACAAAUGGAUAAAAUUAAAGUUGAAUGAUAUAAAAAUGAAAGUGUGCUGAAGAGUCAAUUGAAACAAAUUGAAAGCAAGUUAAAAAUGAAAAAAAGAGCAUUUUUCAAGUAUUGAUCCAAUUUUGGUAAAGCAAACGAUUUACAAUUAUGAGUGGAUAUACCUCAAAAUGGACGUCAUGCUGCGAUUUUUGAUAUUUCAUCAUUAUAAUGAUAUACAUCUAAUUGGCAUAUUUAGAGUUUGUUUUCAUUUGCCGAUGAAAUUCAGUUUACGAUAAGUGCUAAAUGGAUUUAACAUUUAUUAAUAUGUAAUAUUUAAUGGUUAUGAAUCAAGAUAAAUAAGCAGGUUACAGGCGUUUGCACUCCAUUGUUAUUAAUACUAUUAUUAUUACAUAUCUGUAUUUGUAUUUUCAUCAACAGGGAGCCUAUUUUUACUCAUUUUAUAGUUGAAAAAAAUAUUUGACUCAAUGAAAAAGAUGAACUGAGACACACUUUGCUCUCUUAAAGGUAUACAUAUAUGUCACACAAAUGUAUCAUCAUCCAAUUAUGAUCAAUAAUUUUGUGAUGAGAAAAAAAAGGAAGACUAAUAAUAGAGAAUGAUUACAGUGAUGACAGUGAUAACAAGAUUUUAGUUAUGAAUAAAUGAUGAGAAUCAAAA